This 1110-nucleotide ribosomal RNA is filed under the name Staphylococcus hominis subsp. novobiosepticus. Its description in RNAcentral is "bacterial SSU rRNA". It matches the Rfam family "Bacterial small subunit ribosomal RNA", at positions 55 to 1164 of the family's 1533-position model. Lineage: Bacteria; Bacillati; Bacillota; Bacilli; Caryophanales; Staphylococcaceae. The record is from RNAcentral.
AUGCGAGUCGAGCGGAACGAGAGGACUUGCCUUGACGUUAGCGGCGGACGGGUGAUAACACGUGGGUAACCUACCUAUAAGACUGGAUAACUCGGGAAACCGGGCUAAUCCGGAUAAAUUUGAACCGCAUGGUUCAAGUGAAAGAUGGUUUGCUUCACUUAUAGAUGGACCGCGCCGUAUUAGCUAGUUGGUAAGGUAACGGCUUACCAAGGCAACGAUCGUAGCCGACCUGAGAGGGUGAUCGGCCACACUGGAACUGAGACACGGUCCAGACUCCUACGGGAGGCAGCAGUAGGGAAUCUUCCGCAAUGGGCGAAAGCCUGACGGAGCAACGCCGCGUGAGUGAUGAAGGUCUUCGGAUCGUAAAACUCUGUUAUUAGGGAAGAACAAAGUGUAAGUAACUGUGCAGUCUUGACGGUACCUAAUCAGAAAGCCACGGCUAACUACGUGCCAGCAGCCGCGGUAAUACGUAGGUGGCAAGCGUUAUCCGGAAUUAUUGGGCGUAAAGCGCGCGUAGGCGGUUUUUAAGUCUGAUGUGAAAGCCCACGGCUCAACCGUGGAGGGUCAUUGGAAACUGGAAAACUUGAGUGCAGAAGAGGAAAGUGGAAUUCCAUGUGUAGCGGUGAAAUGCGCAGAGAUAUGGAGGAACACCAGUGGCGAAGGCGACUUUCUGGUCUGUAACUGACGCUGAUGUGCGAAAGCGUGGGGAUCAAACAGGAUUAGAUACCCUGGUAGUCCACGCCGUAAACGAUGAGUGCUAAGUGUUAGGGGGUUUCCGCCCCUUAGUGCUGCAGCUAACGCAUUAAGCACUCCGCCUGGGGAGUACGACCGCAAGGUUGAAACUCAAAGGAAUUGACGGGGACCCGCACAAGCGGUGGAGCAUGUGGUUUAAUUCGAAGCAACGCGAAGAACCUUACCAAAUCUUGACAUCCUUUGACCCUUCUAGAGAUAGAGCUUUCCCCUUUCGGGGGACAAAGUGACAGUGGUGCAUGGCUUGUCGUCAGCUCGUGUCGUGAGAUGUUGGGUUAAGUUCCGGCAACGAGCGCAUCUCAUUAGCUUAGCUUGCAUCAUUCAGGUUGGACACCUCUAGAUUGGAACCUUGUCAGGAUA